This 420-nucleotide ribosomal RNA is filed under the name bacterium. Its description in RNAcentral is "partial 16S ribosomal RNA". It matches the Rfam family "Bacterial small subunit ribosomal RNA", at positions 355 to 776 of the family's 1533-position model. The record is from RNAcentral. RNAcentral also lists the same sequence under 1 other name.
UGGGGGAUAUUGCACAAUGGGCGAAAGCCUGAUGCAGCGACGCCGCGUGGGGGAUGAAGGCUUUCGGGAUGUAAACCUCUUUCGCUAUCGAACAAGGCCCGCUUAGGGUGGGUUGAGGGUAGGUGGAGAAGAAGCGCCGGCUAACUACGUGCCAGCAGCCGCGGUAAUACGUAGGGCGCGAGCGUUGUCCGGAAUUAUUGGGCGUAAAGGGCUUGUAGGCGGCUUGUUGCGCCUGCUGUGAAAACGCGGGGCUUAACUUCGCGCGUGCAGUGGGUACGGGCAGGCUUGAGUGUGGUAGGGGUGACUGGAAUUCCAGGUGUAGCGGUGGAAUGCGCAGAUAUCUGGAGGAACACCGAUGGCGAAGGCAGGUCACUGGGCCAUUACUGACGCUGAGGAGCGAAAGCAUGGGUAGCGAACAGG